This 525-nucleotide ribosomal RNA is filed under the name Triticum aestivum (bread wheat). RNAcentral describes it as "partial small subunit ribosomal RNA". Lineage: Eukaryota; Viridiplantae; Streptophyta; Magnoliopsida; Poales; Poaceae. The record is from RNAcentral.
AUGGUGCACUUGUUUCUUCCUCCCGUCCUGCUGGCCUUCUCCCUAGCCGCUGCUACACUCAUGCUGAACGUCGGCGUUGUGGAAGCGUGUUCGUGGCAGUGGCCCAGGUGGCGCCAUGUCUUCCACGGCCGCUUAGGCCGCCGCCACCACAUCUCGUCGAUCGUGACGGAGGAGAUGUUCUCGAGCAUGUUCCUGCACAAGGACAACACCGCCUACCCAGCCAAGGGGUUCUACAACUACUCCUCCUUCGUCAGCACAGUGGAGUGGUUCCCGGAGUUCGGCAGCGGCGCCCACCACGUCGACGUGGACACGCGCAAGCGCGAGGUCGCCGCCUUCCUGGCGCAGAUCUCCCAUGAGACCACCGGCGGGUUGCCCACGGCGCCCGACGGGCCCUACUCAUGGGGCCUCUGCAUCAAGGAAGAGAUCAAUGCAUCCAUCACCUACUGCGACGCCGACAACAAGGAGUGGCCCUGCGUCCCCGACAAAUCCUACCAUGGCCGCGGACCCAUGCAACUCUCCUGGUGA